AGCUUUGUGCAAUGGCAGUAUCGUAGCCAAUGAGGUUUAUUUGAGGCGCGAUUAUUGCUAAUAAGAUACAAAAGUUACAUUUC
This 83-nucleotide small nuclear RNA is filed under the name Octodon degus (degu). RNAcentral describes it as "U4 spliceosomal RNA (ENSODEG00000025721.1)". The stretch from base 1 to 64 matches the Rfam family "U4 spliceosomal RNA". Rfam says of the family: U4 small nuclear RNA (U4 snRNA) is a component of the major U2-dependent spliceosome. Lineage: Eukaryota; Metazoa; Chordata; Mammalia; Rodentia; Octodontidae. The record is from RNAcentral.